Molecule: ribosomal RNA, 271 nt
Filed under: uncultured bacterium
Lineage: Bacteria
Description: partial 16S ribosomal RNA
Rfam family: Bacterial small subunit ribosomal RNA
Source: RNAcentral
AAAGCUGUGCUAAUACCGCAUACGAUCUCUGGAUGAAAGCGGGGGACUCGCAAGGGCCUCGCGCGAUUGGAGCGGCCGAUAUCAGAUUAGCUAGUUGGUGGGGUAAAAGCCCACCAAGGCGACGAUCUGUAGCUGGUCUGAGAGGACGACCAGCCACACUGGAAGUGAGACACGGUCCAGACUCCUACGGGAGGCAGCAGUUUUUUUUUUUUUUUUUGGGCGCAAGCCUGAUCCAGCAAUGCCGCGUGCAGGAUGAAGGCCUUCGGGUUGU